CGCUCUGGCCAUGUGACGCAGCU
This 23-nucleotide non-coding RNA is filed under the name Gallus gallus (chicken). The record is from miRBase by way of RNAcentral. Lineage: Eukaryota; Metazoa; Chordata; Aves; Galliformes; Phasianidae.